UUUCUGUCUUGCCAUUCGGUUCAAAUUAUCGCGCUUGUGCGGUUGUGCGGAGCGGACGAGUUGGAAUAACCAGCGAGGUUCAAUAUUUUCUGUACGGGCGCAUUGUUUGAGGCUCGUUUAGAGAACUGCAGGCGUUCAAAACACGGAAUCGAAUUCGAAUAACAUAGCCCCCCUCCACAAAACCAAAUCAAUCCAAUUCAAAUCGUUCGCGAGUCGAAAGUGAAAUUCGUCGCAGCACAACGGUAAAUCAAAGCCAGACGCGUUUUUUGUUCAAUGAAUGGAAUAGCCAGCUAACACAAAUCCCGCUAAAAUAAUAAAAUUCAAUUACAAUUUAUUGUAACCGCUUUAAUAAUUAGCAUUGCAAAGCGUCUAUGCUAAAGUGUUUAACAGUUUAACAAAUAACAGAAAUAUCGGUGAUUUUGGUGUGCAAGAAAAUUGAGAAAACCAGAAACCAAAACAGAGAUCCGCUGAUUUAAGACGAAAGAAGUUUCGAAAUCUUUAUGUUUUGUGUGAACAUAUAGUGAGAAACUUAUCAACAAGAAAUUAAGUAAUCUUAGUUGGCACCCAACAAGCAAAACAAAUGCAAAUGUGCGCCCCAAAGACAUAUUACCCCGAAAGUGAUCAAUAAUUGUUUGCCGGAAG
Long non-coding RNA from Drosophila sechellia, 642 nucleotides. RefSeq lists it as uncharacterized. The record is from RefSeq and is a predicted model, not a curated record. NCBI's taxonomy places the organism in Eukaryota, Metazoa, Arthropoda, Insecta, Diptera, Drosophilidae. The transcript has 4 exons.